UACGGAGGGGGCAAGCGUUAUUCGGAAUCAUUGGGCGUAAAGGGCGCGUAGGCGGCUUGGCAAGUCAAAGGUGAAAUCCCUCGGCCUAACCGAGGAACUGCCUUUGAAACUGCUUGGCUUGAGGCCGGGAGAGGGUAGCGGAAUUCCCAGUGUAGCGGUGAAAUGCGUAGAUAUUGGGAGGAACACCAGUGGCGAAGGCGGCUUCCUGGACCGACACUGACGCUGAGGCGCGAAAGCUAGGGGAGCAAACAGG
Molecule: ribosomal RNA, 253 nt
Filed under: uncultured bacterium
Lineage: Bacteria
Description: partial 16S ribosomal RNA
Rfam family: Bacterial small subunit ribosomal RNA
Source: RNAcentral